Salvelinus sp. IW2-2015 is the source of this 1192-nucleotide long non-coding RNA. RefSeq lists it as uncharacterized. NCBI's taxonomy places the organism in Eukaryota, Metazoa, Chordata, Actinopteri, Salmoniformes, Salmonidae. The record is from RefSeq and is a predicted model, not a curated record.
UUCCUGCUGAGGAGUUUCUGAAGAAACACAGGCCUGAACUCAUUCAGCGAGCCAAAAACCCAAAGCCAAUAGCAGAUGUUCUGCGGUCAAAGGRCAUGAUUGGUGAUGAAGAGUACUCCAGAAUAACAGCUGAAACAACUGAACAGGAGCGAAUGAGAGAACUACUGAAUGCAGUCCUCCCUAAAGGAYCAGAAGUGAUGGGAGCUUGUCUCAAAGCUCUCAGUGAACAUGAACACCAUCUUGUAAAGUACUUGAGUGAAUCUAGCACCUAAUCUGAAGAUGCUGAGGGCUGUCUCCUAGUCUGUGGACAAAGACACUUCUCCACCUAAUCUGAAGAUGCUGAGGCCUGUCUCCUAGUCUGUGGACAAAGACACUUCUUCACCUAAUCUGAAGAUGCUGAGGCCUGUCUCCUAGUCUGUGGACAAAGACACCUACAUGAUUGUAAGGGAAGAACCCCCUGAAAUGGACAAAAAUGAAUGGGAACAUAUUGGCACUGUACGAAACAUAUACACAGUGUCCAAUACCACUCAAAUGUUCGGCAUUUCAUUCAAAGUUUAUGGCAAAUGUCAUAUGGCAGAUGGCAAGUGUCAUACAGCAAAAAUCCAAAAGAUGGCGAGCGCACUCCACCGUAGGUUUUCAUAUUGCAAAUGCACAUCAAGUUAAGACCCAAUAGUCAAAUUUGAAAAAUGUGGGAAAAAAAAUCAAAGACGUAUCACCCCCCUAAAAAACUGCUUUCUGGACAGUUUUUCAAAUAUCUUUAGAUUUUUUUUGUCGAUUAUACAUGUAUAUGAUCUGUAUAAACAUACUUUUGUCAUAUUUUAUUGUCAUAAUAAAAUAUAAUCAUAAUAAAUAAAACAAUUUUACUUGUCCAUAAGGCAUAUGUUUUGUCCAUUCGCAAUAUGAUUUCAUAGGUGGUCAAAAGUCAGUCAAAAGUCAGUGAACCAUUGCCAAAUGCAAUAAGAAGUGUCCAAAUGCAAUAUGAAAGUAUUGAAAGUGCCCAAUCAGGAUGUUAUGUCCAUUUGCCUGUAUGAUCAUAGGAAGUCGGUUUCCAAACCCAAAAGUCAGUGAACCAUGUCCAAAUGGCAUUUAUACUGCCCAAAUUAUAUAUAGCACUAUGUUAAGCCAUGAAUCAACCUAGAUGGUCUAUUUGUCAUGUAUGAUGAGGGAGAAGUGGGACUCUGUUGUUUUUUAA